ACUCCUACGGGAGGCAGCAGUGGGGAAUAUUGCACAAUGGGGAAACCCUGAUGCAGCCAUGCCGCGUGUGUGAAGAAGGCCUUGGUUGUAAAGCACUUUCAGUAGGGAGGAAGGUAGUGUAGUUAACACCUGCACUAUUUGACGUUACCUACAGAAGAAGCACCGGCUAACUCCGUGCCAGCAGCCGCGGUAAUACGGAGGGUGCGAGCGUUAAUCGGAAUUACUGGGCGUAAAGCGCAUGCAGGCGGCCUGUUAAGUCAGAUGUGAAAGCCCGGGGGCUUAACCUCGGAAUUGCAUUUGAAACUGGCAGGCUAGAGUCUUGUAGAGGGGGUAGGAAUUUCAGGUGUAGCGGUGAAAUGCGUAGAGAUCUGAAGGAAUACCAGUGGCGAAGGCGGCCCCCUGGACAAGACUGACGCUCAGAUGCGAAAGCGUGGGAGGCAAACAGGAUUAGAUACCCUGGUAGCACAGAG
This 470-nucleotide ribosomal RNA is filed under the name uncultured bacterium. RNAcentral's name for it is "bacterial SSU rRNA". It matches the Rfam family "Bacterial small subunit ribosomal RNA", at positions 335 to 799 of the family's 1533-position model. The record is from RNAcentral.